GAUGAAGAACGUAGCGAAAUGCGAUACUUGGUGUGAAUUGCAGAAUCCCGUGAACCAUCGAGUCUUUGAACGCAAGUUGCGCCCGAAGCCAUUAGGCCGAGGGCACGCCUGCCUGGGCGUCACACGUCGUUGCCCCCCCAUCUACUCCUUCGGGAUUGCGGGGGGCGGAUGAUGGCCUCCCGUGCGCCUCGUCGCGCGGUUGGCAUAAAUACCAAGUCCUCGGCGACGCACGCCACGACAAGCGGUGGUUGCGAAACCUCGGUUGCCCGUCGUGUGCGGUCGUCGCGCAUCGAGGGCUCGAAAAAAUUGCCGGGCUCCGGCUCGGCUUUCAACGCGACCCCAGGUCAGGCGGGGUUACCCGCUGAAUUUAAGCAUAUCAAUAAGCGGAGGA
Molecule: unclassified non-coding RNA, 391 nt
Filed under: soil metagenome
Description: partial contains 5.8S ribosomal RNA, internal transcribed spacer 2, and large subunit ribosomal RNA
Rfam family: 5.8S ribosomal RNA (bases 1-122)
Source: RNAcentral